This 609-nucleotide ribosomal RNA is filed under the name uncultured bacterium. RNAcentral's name for it is "bacterial SSU rRNA". The stretch from base 1 to 515 matches the Rfam family "Bacterial small subunit ribosomal RNA", at positions 338 to 873 of the family's 1533-position model. The record is from RNAcentral.
CCUACGGGAGGCAGCAGUGGGGAAUCUUGCGCAAUGGGCGAAAGCCUGACGCAGCCAUGCCGCGUGAAUGAUGAAGGUCUUAGGAUUGUAAAAUUCUUUCACCGAGGACGAUAAUGACGGUACUCGGAGAAGAAGCCCCGGCUAACUUCGUGCCAGCAGCCGCGGUAAUACGAAGGGGGCUAGCGUUGCUCGGAAUUACUGGGCGUAAAGGGAGCGUAGGCGGAUAGUUUAGUCAGAGGUGAAAGCCCAGGGCUCAACCUUGGAAUUGCCUUUGAUACUGGCUAUCUUGAGUACGGAAGAGGUAUGUGGAACUCCGAGUGUAGAGGUGAAAUUCGUAGAUAUUCGGAAGAACACCAGUGGCGAAGGCGACAUACUGGUCCGUUACUGACGCUGAGGCUCGAAAGCGUGGGGAGCAAACAGGAUUAGAUACCCUGGUAGUCCACGCUGUAAACGAUGAGUGCUAGUUGUCGGCAUGNAUNCAUGUCGGUGCGCAGCUACGCAUAAGACACUCCGCCGUCGGGAGGUACGGUCGCGAGAAGUUAAACGUAACAAUAGUAAGUUAGUACGGCGUGAGACGUAGACCGAACGGACGACGACGAGGGAGGAGGG